CCUACGUGAGGCAGCAGUGAGGAAUAUUGGUCAAUGGGCGCGAGCCUGAACCAGCCAAGUAGCGUGAAGGAUGACUGCCCUACGGGUUGUAAACUUCUUUUAUAAAGGAAUAAAGUGAGGCACGUGUGCCUUUUUGUAUGUACUUUAUGAAUAAGGAUCGGCUAACUCCGUGCCAGCAGCCGCGGUAAUACGGAGGAUCCGAGCGUUAUCCGGAUUUAUUGGGUUUUAAGGGAGCGUAGAUGGGUUGUUAAGUCAGUUGUGAAAGUUUGCGGCUCAACCGUAAAAUUGCAAUUGAUACUGGCAGUCUUGAGUACAGUUGAGGUAGGCGGAAUUCGUGGUGUAGCGGUGAAAUGCUUAGAUAUCACGAAGAACUCCGAUUGCGAAGGCAGCUUACUAAACUGCCACUGACAUUGAUGCUCGAAAGUGUGGGUAUCAAACAGGAUUAGAUACCCCAGUAGGC
This 460-nucleotide ribosomal RNA is filed under the name uncultured bacterium. Its description in RNAcentral is "partial 16S ribosomal RNA". It matches the Rfam family "Bacterial small subunit ribosomal RNA", at positions 338 to 795 of the family's 1533-position model. The record is from RNAcentral.